Molecule: ribosomal RNA, 1362 nt
Filed under: uncultured bacterium
Lineage: Bacteria
Description: 16S ribosomal RNA
Rfam family: Bacterial small subunit ribosomal RNA
Source: RNAcentral
AGAGUUUGAUCCUGGCUCAGAACGAACGCUGGCGGCGUGGAUAAGACAUGCAAGUCGAACGAGAGAAUUGCUAGCUUGCUAAUAAUUCUCUAGUGGCGCACGGGUGAGUAACACGUGAGUAACCUGCCCCCGAGAGCGGGAUAGCCCUGGGAAACUGGGAUUAAUACCGCAUAGUAUCGAAAGAUUAAAGCAGCAAUGCGCUUGGGGAUGGGCUCGCGGCCUAUUAGUUAGUUGGUGAGGUAACGGCUCACCAAGGCGAUGACGGGUAGCCAGUCUGAGAGGAUGUCCGGCCACACUGGAACUGAGACACGGUCCAGACACCUACGGGUGGCAGCAGUCGAGAAUCAUUCACAAUGGGGGAAACCCUGAUGGUGCGACGCCGCGUGGGGGAAUGAAGGUCUUCGGAUUGUAAACCCCUGUCAUGUGGGAGCAAAUUAAAAAGAUAGUACCACAAGAGGAAGAGACGGCUAACUCUGUGCCAGCAGCCGCGGUAAUACAGAGGUCUCAAGCGUUGUUCGGAAUCACUGGGCGUAAAGCGUGCGUAGGCUGUUUCGUAAGUCGUGUGUGAAAGGCGCGGGCUCAACCCGCGGACGGCACAUGAUACUGCGAGACUAGAGUAAUGGAGGGGGAACCGGAAUUCUCGGUGUAGCAGUGAAAUGCGUAGAUAUCGAGAGGAACACUCGUGGCGAAGGCGGGUUCCUGGACAUUAACUGACGCUGAGGCACGAAGGCCAGGGGAGCGAAAGGGAUUAGAUACCCCUGUAGUCCUGGCAGUAAACGGUGCACGCUUGGUGUGCGGGGAAUCGACCCCCUGCGUGCCGGAGCUAACGCGUUAAGCGUGCCGCCUGGGGAGUACGGUCGCAAGAUUAAAACUCAAAGGAAUUGACGGGGACCCGCACAAGCGGUGGAGUAUGUGGCUUAAUUCGAUGCAACGCGAAGAACCUUACCUGGGCUUGACAUGUAAUGAACAACAUGUGAAAGCAUGCGACUCUUCGGAGGCGUUACACAGGUGCUGCAUGGCCGUCGCCAGCUCGUGUCGUGAGAUGUUUGGUUAAGUCCAGCAACGAGCGCAACCCCUGUUGCCAGUUACCAGCACGUGAAGGUGGGGACUCUGGCGAGACUGCCCAGAUCAACUGGGAGGAAGGUGGGGACGACGUCAGGUCAGUAUGGCCCUUAUGCCCAGGGCUGCACACGUACUACAAUGCCCAGUACAGAGGGGGCCGAAGCCGCGAGGCGGAGGAAAUCCUAAAAACUGGGCCCAGUUCGGACUGUAGGCUGCAACCCGCCUACACGAAGCCGGAAUCGCUAGUAAUGGCGCAUCAGCUACGGCGCCGUGAAUACGUUCCCGGGUCUUGCACUCACC